Peromyscus leucopus (white-footed mouse) is the source of this 925-nucleotide long non-coding RNA. RefSeq lists it as uncharacterized. The transcript is spliced from 2 exons. NCBI's taxonomy places the organism in Eukaryota, Metazoa, Chordata, Mammalia, Rodentia, Cricetidae. The record is from RefSeq and is a predicted model, not a curated record.
CCGGCUGCAGGCCCUUCGGAGGGUCCUGUGGGAUCUCGGCUUUUAGAGGCUAUGGAGAACCUUGGCUUGUGGCCUUCCUCCAUCGCUUUGCAAGCCCGCAAAGGUGAGAAAAGUCUUCCUUACACAGUCACUCUGACCCCUUCCUUCUCCUCCGUCCCCCACUUCUUCAGGACACUCAGGAGUGGAUGGAGCCCAGGAAGAUAAUUCAGGCUCAUCUCUCCACUUCAAGGUCAUCGGAAUUGGCACUUUUAAUUCCACCUGCCUCCUAGACUGCCCUUUGCCACAGAAGAUCUUGGAUUUAUAGAUCAGAACUGGAGCUGCACGAAAACACACAACCAGAAAAAUAUUCCAAAGAAACACUGGGCUGCCGGAUUAGUCUAGAGCCAGCUACAGUAACCUCUGUGGGGUCUCUUCAGCUUUGUGUGACCUGAUGGGUCAGCCACGGCUACCUUGUUCAGACUCUCCCUCCAGGACCUUGUGUCCCACCCAAGACUGACAGGGUCAGAGCACAGGUGGGCAUUAUUAGUUUUUGAUGGUUCGUUCUAUGUCACUGUUGCGUUACUUUGUUUAUUAUUAUUGUAUAUGUGCAUAAUGUGGGCUGAGGGGCACAUGUGAGCCGUGAGGCCAGCAUGCCACCGCCAGAGUGUAGAGGUCAGAGGACAACUUCGUUCUCUCUGCUGCUUCUGCUUCCACCUUUAUGUGGCUUCCGGGUGUUGAACUCAGGCCUCCAGGCUUGCGCCAUAAGCACUUUGCCUACAGAGCCGGUUCACCAGGCCUGUCUUUAUUUAUAUUUUUUGAGGUCUUGUGUGUCCAUGGCUGGUCUUGAGUUCACUGUGUAGCAGAGGAUGACCUUGAACUUCUGAACCUCCUGCCCCAAGCUCCAAGUGCUAUGAUUAUAGGCGCAUAUCACGAUUCCUAACUCUGA